UCGGCGUAUCAUUCAAUUAUUCAUUUACAUUAUUUUUAUGUUGUGACCUCUGAGCUCCAGAUUGGGACAGAGGGAAUCAGCAUAAUUUUUUGUGGUGCAUUUACUUGAUUGGUGCUUGGGGAUGUUUGAGGCAGAUUUGUUUCCGUCGUUUUGAGGCCAGCUUGCUGGUACCCAAACGGUGUUAGCAUUUUUUGUCUUGGGCAUUUGAGUAUGGCUCACGUGAAUUUAUUGGACAGAUCUGAGUGUAAGUUACGGUCGCAUGCGACACGUGCUUUUCAAUUAGUUCGGUCCAGUUAAUGCUCUCGUACUCGUUCCCCAUGUAAAAGCCGGUCAUCUAUCCGACCCGUCUUGAAACACGGACCAAGGAGUUUAUCGUGUGCGCAAGUUUUUGGGUGUUAAAAACYUAAAAGCGAAAUGAAAGUAAAUGACUCUUUAGAGUCUGAUGUGCGAUCUUGUAAAAAAGUGUAGCAUGGCCCCAUUCUAACUGUUUACAGUAGGGUGGCGGAAGAGCGUACGCGGUGAGACCCGAAAGAUGGUGAACUAUUCCUGAGCAGGACGAAGCCAGAGGAAACUCUGGUGGAAGUCCGAAGCGGUUCUGACGUGCAAAUCGAUCGUCUGACUUGGGUAUAGGGGCGAAAGACUAAUCGAACC
RNAcentral lists this ribosomal RNA (651 nucleotides) under Meloidogyne incognita (southern root-knot nematode). RNAcentral describes it as "partial large subunit ribosomal RNA". Lineage: Eukaryota; Metazoa; Nematoda; Chromadorea; Rhabditida; Meloidogynidae. The record is from RNAcentral.